UGAAGUAAAAGUCGUAACAAGGUUUCCGUAGGUGAACCUGCGGAAGGAUCAUUACAACAAGGUUCCCUGGCCCUCGAAGCUUCGGCGGAGGGGUGCUACAGCCUGACUUUAUACCCACCCUUUGCCUAUGUGUACCCCUAUUGCUUCCCUCGGCGGGUUCGCCCGCCGACAGGAACCAACUAAACCCUUUGCAUUAUACAUUUAACACUUCCGAUACAAAACUAAAUUAUUACAACUUUUAACAAUGGAUCUCUUGGUUCUGGCAUCGAUGAAGAACGCAGCGAAAUGCGAUAAGUAGUGUGAAUUGCAGAAUUCAGUGAAUCAUCGAAUCUUUGAACGCACAUUGCGCCCCUCGGUAUUCCGUGGGGCAUGCCUGUUCGAGCGUCAUUUACACCCUCAAGCUCUGCUUGGUGUUGGGCGUCUGUCCCGCCUCCGUGCGCGGACUCGCCUCAAAGUCAUUGGCAGCGGUCUCGUCGGCUUCUCGCGCAGCACAUUUGCGCUUCUUGGAGCCCCGGCGGAUCAGCGUCCAGCAAGCAA
Molecule: ribosomal RNA, 537 nt
Filed under: Ascomycota sp. I306
Lineage: Eukaryota; Fungi; Ascomycota
Description: eukaryotic LSU rRNA
Rfam family: 5.8S ribosomal RNA (bases 234-387)
Source: RNAcentral